GCCCGCUCAGAAACUUAAAGGAAUUGACGGGGGCCCGCACAAGCGGUGGAGCAUGUGGUUUAAUUCGAUGAUACGCGAGGAACCUUACCUGGGCUCAAAUGUAUGUUGACGUAUUCUGAAAGGGAUACUUCUUCGGACAAUAUACAAGGUGCUGCAUGGUUGUCGUCAGCUCGUGCCGUGAGGUGUCGGGUUAAGUCCCAUAACGAGCGCAACCCCUAUCAUUAGUUGCCAUCAGGUCAAGCUGGGGACUCUAAUGAAACUGCCUACGCAAGUAGUGAGGAAGGUGGGGAUGACGUCAAAUCAGCACGGCCUUUAUAUCCUGGGCUACACACACGCUACAAUGGGAAGGGACAAUAGGUUGCGAAGCCGCGAGGCGGAGCCAAUCCAGCAAAACUUCCCUCAGUUCAGAUUGCAGGCUGCAACUCGCCUGCAUGAAGUUGGAGUUGCUAGUAAACGCAGGUCAGCCAUACUGCGUUGAAUACGUUCCCGGGGCUU
This 495-nucleotide ribosomal RNA is filed under the name uncultured Sphingobacteriales bacterium. RNAcentral describes it as "bacterial SSU rRNA". It matches the Rfam family "Bacterial small subunit ribosomal RNA", at positions 887 to 1382 of the family's 1533-position model. The record is from RNAcentral. Lineage: Bacteria; Pseudomonadati; Bacteroidota; Sphingobacteriia; Sphingobacteriales.